GACGAACGCUGGCGGCGCGCUUAACACAUGCAAGUCGAGCGACGAAAGGUCCUUUCGGGGACCCUGAAAGCGGCGAACGGGUGAGUAACACGUGGGUAACCCACCCUCGGUUUCGGGAUAGCCCGGGGAAACCCGAUUAAUACCGAAUAGGCCUCUCCGGUCUUCGGGCUGGUGAGAAAAGGUAGCUUCGGCCUCCGACCGAGGACGGGCCCGCGGCCGAUUAGCUUGUUGGUGAGGUAACGGCUCACCAAGGCGACGAUCGGUAGCUGGCUGAGAGGACGAUCAGCCACACUGGGACUGAGACACGGCCCAGACUCCUACGGGAAGGCAGCAGUGGGGAAUCUUGCGC
Molecule: ribosomal RNA, 349 nt
Filed under: uncultured bacterium
Lineage: Bacteria
Description: bacterial SSU rRNA
Rfam family: Bacterial small subunit ribosomal RNA
Source: RNAcentral